GACGAUAUAUUUUACAUAGCCAUGUACUACGCAAUUCUGGUCACAAUGUCCUCGCAAGAGACAUGAGAUGUUGCUCAACUGCUUUCUUUUUUUUUAUUUAGUUUAAAAUGUCAUGGCCUGGUCAUAAAUUAUUCUCUAUCGGUUUCUGUGUAAAUCUGUUAACAGUCAAUCAACAAUUAUUUGCAGCUUUCUUCAUAAGCCUCGCACACUGCUACUGCGCCAAUACGUGCGCGGCGGAUUAUGGGAACGCUCUCAAAACAUUUGAAGUUACAGCGCAGAUCUGCCCCAUAAUGAAGACUUUUCUAAACUGUAUCGCGCAAACGUGCCAGGUAGAUGUCUCGAUAUAUUACCCACAGUUGGAGAAUGAUAUGAAGGCUGCUGGCGUUUAUUGUGAUUUUAACGCCGCCUCAAGGUCUGUGUCCCUCAGCCUCCUCACUGUGUGUGGUUCCGCGCUGCUGACUGCUUACAGAAUCUUCAGCAUGUGAUCCUCUCAGUCUGUGUGACAAAACAGUGAACUAUUUUAUCAUUUCUGUAACAUUAUCUAGCCUCGCAUAUUAGGUUUGUCAGCUAGCAUAUUUCUUGCGUGAAUAGUCCUCAUGCACAACUUUGUUGGUUCUACUUUAGUUCCCUUGUCAUCUAGAUGGGUAGCCUGAAUUCUAAUGAGCAAUUUUUAACCAUUGACAUCUGAAAAAGAAUGUGACAGUCACAAAUGCGAGAAAUAGUUAAGCUAACUGUUUUACUUUAUGCUUCCAUGAAGAAAGAACUUGCCAUGACUGAAUGUACUGCCUUGUAUAUCUCAAUUAUUUUGUUUUAUUUCUUCGCUUACAUUUGAUGACUCACGAGGUGAGUUUAUACGUAAAAUAACCAUUUUGGUGUUUGGUAAUGGAGUCUCCCUAGUGCCAUGCUGCUCACUGCUUACAGAACCUUCAACAUCAAGUCCUGUCUACCUGUAUGGCAACAAUGAACUUGCUGUGGGCUGUACUAUUAUUUUCUGUCAUUGUAAAUGCCACUUACACCUUGGCUGUUUCUCAAGUUGUCAACAAAUACAUUUAAUAAAGUAUUUCUCU
Molecule: long non-coding RNA, 1067 nt
Organism: Pomacea canaliculata
Lineage: Eukaryota; Metazoa; Mollusca; Gastropoda; Architaenioglossa; Ampullariidae
Exons: 3
Source: RefSeq, a predicted model, not a curated record